This 782-nucleotide ribosomal RNA is filed under the name uncultured bacterium. Its description in RNAcentral is "bacterial SSU rRNA". It matches the Rfam family "Bacterial small subunit ribosomal RNA", at positions 8 to 796 of the family's 1533-position model. The record is from RNAcentral.
AGAGUUUGAUCAUGGCUCAGAGUGAACGCUGGCGGCGUGCCUAACACAUGCAAGUCGAGCGAAGUGGCAGUUCCCGCAAGGGGAUAUGUGCUUAGCGGCAGACGGGUGAGUAACACGUAGACAAUCUUCCUCUUAGAGGGGGAUAGCCCACCGAAAGGUGGGGUAAUACCCCGUACGAUCAAGUUCCGGCAUCGGAUUUUGAUGAAACCCGCAAGGGGCUGAGAGACGAGUCUGCGGCCUAUCAGCUAGUUGGUGAGGUAACGGCUCACCAAGGCUACGACGGGUAACCGGCCUGAAAGGGCGAACGGUCACACUGACACUGGGACACGGGUCAGACUCCUACGGGAGGCAGCAGUGAGGAAUCUUGGACAAUGGGGGAAACCCUGAUCCAGCGACGCCGCGUGAAGGAUGAAGGUCUUCGGAUUGUAAACUUCUUUUGUCGGGGAAUAAUAAAAUGAAGGUACCCGAUGAAUAAGCCACGGCUAACUUCGUGCCAGCAGCCGCGGUAAUACGAAGGUGGCAAGCGUUACUCGGAUUUACUAGGCGUAAAGGGCAGGUAGGUGGUUUGAUAAGUCUGUUGUGUAAGCUCCCGGCUUAACUGGGAGAGGUCAACGGAAACUAUCAGGCUUGAGUAUAGGAGAGGGUACUGGAAUUCCCGGUGUAGCGGUGAAAUGCGCAGAUAUCGGGAGGAACACCAAUGGCGAAAGCAGGUACCUGGACUAUUACUGACACUCAGCUGCGAAAGCUAGGGGAGCAAACAGGAUUAGAUACCCUAGUAGUCC